This 27-nucleotide non-coding RNA is filed under the name Drosophila melanogaster (fruit fly). The record is from RNAcentral. Lineage: Eukaryota; Metazoa; Arthropoda; Insecta; Diptera; Drosophilidae.
AUAAGAAAUAAUCUUCGUCUUGAGAUC